RNAcentral lists this ribosomal RNA (253 nucleotides) under uncultured bacterium. Its description in RNAcentral is "partial 16S ribosomal RNA". It matches the Rfam family "Bacterial small subunit ribosomal RNA", at positions 524 to 776 of the family's 1533-position model. The record is from RNAcentral.
UACGUAGGGUGCGAGCGUUGUCCGGAAUUAUUGGGCGUAAAGGGCUCGUAGGCGGUCCGUCACGUCGGGAGUGAAAACUUGGGGCUUAACCCCAAGCCUGCUUCCGAUACGGGCGGACUAGAGGUAGGCAGGGGAGAACGGAAUUCCUGGUGUAGCGGUGAAAUGCGCAGAUAUCAGGAGGAACACCGGUGGCGAAGGCGGUUCUCUGGGCCUUACCUGACGCUGAGGAGCGAAAGCGUGGGGAGCGAACAGG